GCCGCUUUAGCUCAGUUGGUAGAGCACAUCAUUCGUAAUGAUGGGGCCACAGGUUCGAGUCCUGUAAGCGGCA
Molecule: transfer RNA, 73 nt
Organism: Croceicoccus naphthovorans
Lineage: Bacteria; Pseudomonadati; Pseudomonadota; Alphaproteobacteria; Sphingomonadales; Erythrobacteraceae
Rfam family: tRNA
About the family: Transfer RNA (tRNA) molecules are approximately 80 nucleotides in length.
Source: Rfam